GACGAACGUUGGCGGCGUGCUUAAUACAUGCAAGUCAACUGAAGCAGUGGUAGCAAUAUCGCUGUGGAGGUGGCGCACGGGUGAGUAACACGUAGGUAAUCUGCCUUCAGGUCUGGCAUAACUCCGGGAAACCGGGGCUAAUAGCAGAUGAUGCAGCGGCUCGACAUCGAGACAGUUGUUAAAGCUAUGGCGCCUGAAGAUGAGCCUGCGUCUGAUUAGCUAGCUGGCGGGGUAACGGCCCACCAAGGCAACGAUCAGUAGCUGGUCUGAGAGGAUGAUCAGCCACACUGGAACUGAGACACGGUCCAGACUCCUACGGGAGGCAGCAGUAAGGAAUAUUGCUCAAUGGGAGAAAUCCUGAAGCAGCAACGCCGCGUGAGGGACGAAGGGCUUUUGCUUGUAAACCUCUGUAGUGAGAGAAAAAAAUCCCAAUCUUUGGGACAUGAUGGUAUCUCAAAAGUAAGCCCCGGCUAACUACGUG
This 481-nucleotide ribosomal RNA is filed under the name uncultured bacterium. RNAcentral describes it as "partial 16S ribosomal RNA". It matches the Rfam family "Bacterial small subunit ribosomal RNA", at positions 28 to 507 of the family's 1533-position model. The record is from RNAcentral.